Ipomoea nil (Japanese morning glory) is the source of this 1043-nucleotide long non-coding RNA. RefSeq lists it as uncharacterized. The transcript has 7 exons. Lineage: Eukaryota; Viridiplantae; Streptophyta; Magnoliopsida; Solanales; Convolvulaceae. The record is from RefSeq and is a predicted model, not a curated record.
UUGCGAGGCAGUCCACAAAAUAAUUUGCGCAUGCUCUUAUUGGCCAAGCGUAAUUCAUAAACAGCGGCGUUGGCGGGCGGAGAACAGAAAUACGGAGUAGCACUUCCAUUUUUCAGCCACCGAGUCUCAGCCAGCUAGGGUUUUUUUUGCUGCGAUUCCAGAGAGGGAGGGAUGAGCGAGACUUCUGUAGGCUUUAGCCAUGGCGAGCACCAAAGUUCAGAGGAUUAUGACUCAACCAUUGUACUUCUACUAAACCUUAUUUUUGAGCUGCUUUAUGUUCUCAUACAGUUUCAUUUUCAUGUUCGUUUAACUUAAUCGCUUGUAAGCAGAAAUUUCGCAUUCAGAUAUGGCUUUUUGAACAGAAGGAUCUGAGAAUCGAAGGCGGCAUUAUUUGCUAUGUUGGGUUGAGUUUGCAGCUGGAUGUCGUGACUCGUGAGUUUGGUCUCACUGGCAAAUGAAUUUGGUUCUUGAUGAUGCUGAGGAAGUAAAUAUAAAGAAGAAGAGCAGAAAGAAACUAGGAUGCAUACUUUUGAAAGGCGACAAUAUCACCCUUAUGAUGAAUACGUAUAUGGGGAAGUAACAUCUUGGAAGUUGUGUGCCGAGCUCACCUGCACAUGUUGUAUUAUUAUGGCCAUGUGAUUGAAAAUCUUGUGAACUAAUAUCGUCACCAUAAUGUAUCCUAGGGACUAGAGCAUCAUCACCAGGCAUGUACUUAUCUUUGAUGCACUAUUGCAUUGUCUUUGAGUGGGGAAAGUGAUGCUUGCGCUGCAACUUCUUUGGUGUAUAUUGUAUGACAAAGUUACCCUUAUUGCAGCUUUCUUUCCUUUGCAUGGAGGUGUUUAAAUGCCUUGCACAGUUGUAUGUGAAGUUCAACUGAUACUGGAAUAGUAAUCCCAUUAAAGAGCAUCUUCAAGUGAACUACAGAAGUACAUGAAGGCACCUCCCCUAUCUUCUUAAGGGAAUCCUUGUCAGGCUCUUCAUCAACUCCAAUAGCCAUGAUGGCCUUUGUCCUCUUAACGGUCCUUCCCACGCUCAUAAAGCUC